Molecule: long non-coding RNA, 1725 nt
Filed under: Triticum aestivum (bread wheat)
Lineage: Eukaryota; Viridiplantae; Streptophyta; Magnoliopsida; Poales; Poaceae
Description: long non-coding RNA (TAES_LNC000413)
Rfam family: MIR1120/MIR1122 microRNA precursor family (bases 949-1035)
Source: RNAcentral
GACGAAACUAGAUGAACAUCAAGCCCCAAAAGGUGAAUAAACCUUAAGUACUUACUAAUAGCUGUUGAUGAUUAAGUACCUUCAUUAAUUUAUAGUUCAGAGGAAUUCGUGGAAAGAGGAGACCACUGCACUUAUUUGAAGGGGUCGGUUAUUGAAUAGAUUGUUUGUAAAUGAAAAUCAUAGAAGCCCUGCAAAGUGUGUUGCCAUCACAAAAAAAAUGGUGCACGGCAACAAAAGCUUCAAAACACCUUUUGGCUAUUAUUAUAGUUGCCGACCUUUUGGCUAUACCAGAGAUCAUUUGCUUUGCAAAAGUUUCCCUUUGAUUAGGUGAAGCUGUAUGUAUAUUUAGUCUUUAAGCAAAUAUUGUUUUGAAUAUUCACAUAGUCAUGAGUGACACAUUUGAGGCAAAAGGGUCACUGAUUCUUUUGUAUUGACCCAGCUGGCAAUGAUGACGUGUGACAGUUUCUAGGUGGAAUGUAGCAGAUUAUAAUCUCCUCACCUCAAAUAUUCAGGUCUGAUCAUAUUUUAAGGAGUAUCCAUAAUAGCAUAUGCUUGUAGUGUGUUUCAUAAAUUCUCCUACCGUUUGACUUGCACAAGAAUGCAAGGUGAAGAUGCUUUAAAAAAAUCAGAUCUGAAAAACCAUGUCAUUUUUUUCACGUGGUAGAUAAAAACUGUACUCAGCCAUGGACAUAGUAACAUAGAAAUUUGGACUUGGGUCCACUCCUCACUUCCCCAUUCAUCUGAAAGCCAUUGCAUCUUGAUCAAGUUUCUUUUGAAUUUAGUCAUUAGUAUCAUUCGAUGAGUUCAUAGAAGUUACUUUACCGAAUGUAAGAAGAACAUUAAUCUGUUGGGAUUUUGCCUCCAUUAUUUGAAGAAAUGCUAGCAAUUAUUCUUCGACCUCUUGCAAAACAACGCAAAUCUACAUACUUAACAUAUGCUGGAUACAUAUUACUCCCUCUGUAAAGAAAUAUAAGAGCGUUUAGAUCACUACUUUAGUGAUCGAAACGCUCUUAUAUUUGUUUACGGAGGGAGUACUUUUAUGAUUAUUGUCCGCAAAAAAAAACAUGUGUGCCUUUCCUUGUAGCCAAAAGAAUGUUUGUUUGACCCAUUUUUUUUAUCUCUGUAGACUUGUGAGUAGUGACAAUGGAGGUUCUCUGGGAUGAAGAACACAUGCUUUUUAUUUUUACGAUAUGUAUCUGCUUUAUUUUGCAAAGUGGAACUCAUGGACACGGCGCAAAGUAGUUAUUACGGCUGUUACAUUUAUAAUGUCAGUUGAAGUGUUGGAGCUUAGAUUAUUCGUUUCUAUUUGUAGAUGGAUGAUUUCUUCUUGUCGGAGCCUGCUGUGAUGGUACCUGGUACGGACCUGCCAAAUUGAAUUUGAAAGUACUCUUUGGUCGCCUUCUCAGUCUGUACUAUCCUGGGAUUUUCGUUUGUAUAAGUAUCUACGGGAUUAUUAUACCUGAUUGUGCCAAGAUUUAACCGACUUGGUCUGAUUAUGCCUUUCGUGGAGAAAAAAAAUAAUGCUUAGUUGGAAGUUUCUGCUUUGUUUUGCUUCUGUUCUUACGUUAUCAAGUCGUUGGAGAAAGAUGUACUCCAAUCCUAUCUCUAGCUCGCCGUACCUGCUUACUUUUAAUUUUAAUGUAUUUAGCAAUUUAUGCAACCUGGCCUUAAAUGGACCAUUUUCAGUCUAUAGUUCCAGUCGAUCUAACAAUCACUCGUAAAUAG